CUGAAUAUGAGGGAUAGAAUUGAGUAAAGACUGGUUAGAAGUGGAUAAAGUUGUGAAAGAAAAUUGAUUAGUGAAAGAGGGCAUAAAAAAAGUAAAAACAUCAGCUAAAUGUACAACACCACAUAUGUAGUCAGACAAAUAUGCAGGGGUUCUAUGUUCCCUAUGCGACCUGCGUAAUGCAUUUUCCACCAUAAUAGGAGAAGGGGAAGGAGAG
This 214-nucleotide long non-coding RNA is filed under the name Nicotiana benthamiana. RNAcentral describes it as "long non-coding RNA (NBEN_LNC039881)". The record is from RNAcentral. Lineage: Eukaryota; Viridiplantae; Streptophyta; Magnoliopsida; Solanales; Solanaceae.